Molecule: ribosomal RNA, 497 nt
Filed under: uncultured bacterium
Lineage: Bacteria
Description: partial 16S ribosomal RNA
Rfam family: Bacterial small subunit ribosomal RNA
Source: RNAcentral
GAUGAACGCUGGCGGCGUGCCUAAUACAUGCAAGUCGAGCGAACGGACGAGAAGCUUGCUUCUCUGAUGUUAGCGGCGGACGGGUGAGUAACACGUGGACAACCUACCUAUAAGACUGGGAUAACUUCGGGAAACCGGAGCUAAUACCGGAUAAUAUUUUGAACCGCAUGGUUCAAAAGUGAAAGACGGUCUUGCUGUCACUUAUAGAUGGAUCCGCGCUGCAUUAGCUAGUUGGUAAGGUAACGGCUUACCAAGGCAACGAUGCAUAGCCGACCUGAGAGGGUGAUCGGCCACACUGGAACUGAGACACGGUCCAGACUCCUACGGGAGGCAGCAGUAGGGAAUCUUCCGCAAAGGGCGAAAGCCUGACGGAGCAACGCCGCGUGAGUGAUGAAGGUCUUCGGAUCGUAAAACUCUGUUAUUAGGGAAGAACAUAUGUGUAAGUAACUGUGCACAUCUUGACGGUACCUAAUCAGAAAGCCACGGCUAACUACGUG